Molecule: long non-coding RNA, 19864 nt
Filed under: Capsicum annuum
Lineage: Eukaryota; Viridiplantae; Streptophyta; Magnoliopsida; Solanales; Solanaceae
Description: long non-coding RNA (CANN_LNC021294)
Source: RNAcentral
GGUUAAAUAGGUCUUUUUCCAUGAUUUUAUUCCACCCAGAUAUGGGAUUUAAGCCCUAAAAACAUUCUUAGCUACUUAUUAUUCAUUUUUUCCCCAAUAUCAAGAGCAUUCUCUCUCAAGAAAAUAAAACCCUAGACCUUAAGAAUCAAGGUCAAUCUCAACAAAUCCAUCCAAGAACUCUAAGAACCUUCAAGGUUUCCUUUCUCAGGUAUGCAUAGUGUUCAGUCAUGGAUUACUUUCGUCCAUAAAGCCCAAGAAUCAAGUUUUAAACUAUGAAUUAUGAUAUUCAUACUAUGUCUUGAUUAUGUUCAUGUGGUUUUUGUUGUUGUAUGAUUCCCAAGUUGGAAUCCUUAUGUGUUUUUAUGAAAAUAUGUUAGCAUGUGAGUUGAAAAUCAUGAAUUUUAGUUGGUUAUAAUAUGUUAAUUUGACGAUUAUGCCAUGCCCUAAGUCAUACACCCUAAGUUUUUGAUAAAAUGCCUAAGAAACUAGAAAUUAUGUAAUAUGACUCAAUUGUGACUUAAGUGAAGGAUUAAUGUUUUACCCUUCCGUUCAAAUGACUUUCAUGCUAUUGAUGUGCAAUGCUCAUGAUGUUAGAGUAUGAAAUUAUGACAUUGAGUAUAUGCAUUCCUACCAUGUACAAGAUUAUGAUAACCAUGUACUUCAUGAAAUAUCCAACUUAUUGUAUUAUGGAUUGUUGAUGUUGGUCGUGUAUUCAAGAAUGUCAUACCUUGUCAGUUUUCUUCUAUCGAGUCCUGGGGAUACUUGUACUCGAUAAUUUAGCUAUGUGCCUAGAGCCAGUGUCAUGUUUUCACGAUAUCCUCAGUCAAGCCAUGUUCAGUAGAAUUUAGUCAGUCAUAUGACUCAAGAAAACUCAGUAAACUCAGUAAUCCCAGUAAUCUCAGAAAGCUCAGAAUUUUAGUAAUCUCAGUAGUAGUUUGUCAGUCAACAAAACUCAAUGAACUCAGUCCAGUUCAAUUUAGUUAAUCAUGUUCAGUGUCUAUUCAGAUGGGAGUAGGAUUUAGUACCGAAUGAACCCAAAGAUAAGGACACACACUGACACUUGAGGGUGUGAUCCUUAGAAACAAUCCUUGCAUUGCAGAACUAUGUAGUCAGCAUAGGUUGAGACAUCAACACUGAUAGAUAAGGGUUAAUGAAGUGGAUAAACACUAUCAUAUGAGGGUCCCACCAUUCUCUUUUGGGGACACUGUCAGAUGAGGAUUACCCACAACUUGUUUUUACCAGUGGCGCGGUAUUAAUACCCUUUCAAUUGGGGUUACAGAUUAGACCCCAACCUAGCUAUAUUGCUUUAUUUGAGGCAUGUCGAUUAUAUGACUACUUUCCACAGUUACAGUUUUAGACACAGUCUCAGUAAUAGAACUUAAAUAGUUCUUCAGAAUUUCAGGAUUGUCAAAUAUAAUCAACUCAGAACAGUAUGGAACUCGAUUAGUUUUAUCAGAAACUAGACUAUCAGAUAUAGUUGCUCAGUAUCAGUUAUAUCAGUUAUUAGUGACUCAUGUUAUCAAUAAUCAGACUCAGUAGUCAGUACCAUCAUAAAUUCAGUCACAGUCACUUAUUCAUGCAUGUAUUCUCAUGUUCAUGUAAUAUAGUCAGUUAGCAUUGUUCAUGCAUUUGAACCUUUUGUAUUUAGCCUACCUCACUUGCAUACUAGUAUAUUCAAUCGUACUGAUGUAUUUGAGCUAUGGUGUUUUAUACUAUAGUUUCAAAAGCACGAGCUCCAGAUCAUCUUUAGUAGAUUAGACGUUCAGCAGCCAGACUAGCUGUGAGUCCUCAUCAUUCGAGGAUAGCAUGAUUAUUUUAUUACUUUAUUAUUUCAGUAGUCCAGAGUUAGUUGGGGACAUGUCCCAUCAACUUCUCAUUCAAAUAGUUUAGAGGCUUUCAUACUACAGUGUUUUCAGACUAGAUGUUUUCAGACAUUGUUUUAGUUUUUGUAUUGUCGUACCACAUUAUUCAGAUAUGGUUUUAUCAGAUGUUUAUUAGUUUUGAACCUUAUGGAAUGUUUUAGCCUACUAUUUUCGUAUUUAUACAGUAUAUUAUGCAUUGUUCAGGUACAUAUAUCAGUCAUGGAUUAGUUUGUGGUCCUUCAGGGUCAUAAGCACUGUGCAGUAUUUUGGGUACCAGAUUUGGAGCAUUACAAACUUGGUAUCAGAGCCAGGUUCAAUAGAGUCCUAGGAAGUUUGAAAGCCGUAUCUAGUAGAGUCUUAUAAAUGGGUGUGUUGUACGCUAUAUUUAUGUGCAGGAGGCUAUGAGAUGUUUUAGGAACAGUUUUCCUUCUUUCAGUAUUCAUAUCAUACUAGUGAACGUGAGCUCAAAUUUAAAUCUUAGUCUAAUCCGUUUUCCCCUUUCUUCUAUAGAACAUGCCUCCUAAAAAAAUAAACGAAAAUCAGUCAGUCCCUCAGCCCAUCCAAGCAGAUCCAUUGGACGAACACGUUUCUCAUGUAGAGUUUAGAGCUGCAUUCACCACUCUUGUUAAUUCAGUUGCCACUUAAAAUAAACAACCAACUGUUGUUCUAGCCAAUUCAGUGGCCAAUUCAGCUGCAGCCAGGAUUCGGGACUUCACUCGAAUGAAUCGUUCAUCCCUUUUUGGGUCUAAGUCAGAAGAAGAUUCUCAGAAGUUCCUAGACCAGGUUCAGAAAGUUACAAACAUCAUGGGGGUUACUUCUAAUGAGAGUACUAAGCUAUCUGCAUAUCAGUUGCAGGAUGUUGCUCACACUUGGUUCAAAUAGUAGAAGUCAGAGUGGUCAGUUGAUGCAGGGCCUAUUGAGUGGAAGGAGUUUGUUACUGCAUUAUUAGAUAGAUUCUUUCCCCAAGAGCUGAGGGAAGCUAAGGUGUUAGAAUUUAUCAACCUCAGGCAGGGAAACAUGAUGGUGAAAGAGUAUUCUCUUAAUUUUACUCAAUUAGCCAGAUAUGUUCCUCAUGUGGUUGCAGAUAGUAGGGCCAAGAUGAGUAAGUUUGUUUCUGGGGUAAAUGAUAGUGUAGUCAAUGAGUGCAGGUCCGCCAUGUUGAUUAGUGAGAUGGACAUAGCUAGGCUUAUGAUUCAUACUCAACAUGCCCCAAUCUGAGCUAAUCGGGGUCCAACCUAUAACCCAGUUGGAAGGGUAUCUAUAACCUAUAUCGUGCCAUGGGUACUAACGUUGGCUAUGUGGAUCCACUAAACUAGUAUCCCAAAGCACUAAGGAGCCACCCUCAACUGGCAGGUUCUCUAAUGAGAUAUGUAUCACCCUCAACUGGCAGGUAAAAACUUUGUUAACCCUCAACUGGCAGGUAGACAACUCUAACCUUCGCUGGCUAUGUAGUUCUGGAACUCAGGGAUUGCUAUUAAGGGUUACACCCCCUACUGUCAGGUGAUCCCUCAUCCCUGAGUUAGCUCAGUGCUAAAUCCUACUCCCAACUGAACUGAUACUGAUACUGGAACAGAUUGAACUAGACUAAACAUUAUUACAUAAUUGAUAGUGUUCAUCAUGAUUAUAAACAUGUAAGUAUACUGAGAAGGGUCCUGGAUUAACUUUCUAAGUAAUUGAAAAGUUGAAUUCAUGUAAAUCACAUAGGUAUUGGGUGUUCAUAACCCACCAGCACUGAAUAAAAUUAAAAAUAAGGCCAUAUAAAAGCUUUAAAACCAUAGUAGGGGAUCAUUGUUCAAAAUCCAUCAUUUAGGUAUUUCAUCCAACACAUGAAAGUCAUGAACUUAAGCAUGGAAAUGGGUAAAUCAUGUGAGAAUAACAUGAUUACAUGACUAAAAUCAUAACUUAGGGAUUUAACAUGAAGAUUACAACAUUUAAAAUAUGUAAUGGCUCAUCCCACUUGAAAACACUUAUAAACAUCACUUGUAAAUUAAUUCACAAGAGAUUCAUGGAGAUAUUUUAACUUAAACAUUAAAAAUUCAUAAUUUAAAACCAAAAAGGGAUUCUUGGACUCUAUGGGUAAAAAGAACCCAUGGAUGAACAUCACAUAUACCUCACUAGAUUAUUUUGUGAAGAUUCUUGGGAAUUUCUUGAGGUUUGUAGCUUGAAUUCCUUGAUUCCUUGAGAAUGGGCUAGGGUUUGUUUUUGAAGUGGAAGAUGGUUUUCUUGAGAGGUUUUAUGAAUAAAGGGGCAAAUAAUGCUCCUUGGGGACCUAAAUUUCAUGUUAUGGAAGAGUUUGGGUAAGGGGAAUUGACCCAAAUGCCUUUAAAUGACAAGGAACAAAAUCUUGACAAAAAGGGAAGGGGGCACCACGGGCAAUAGACCGGCGGGCUAAGCCUGUGCCGCUGGCUCCAUAAUGGCGGGCUAAACCCAGCGCCACGGGCUCCAGUCCGAUGGGUUAAGCCCCGCAUUGCGGCCUAUCCCGGUGCCCCCAUUGUUUUGCUUCUCCAAAUAUUCCCCUAAGCUUCUCUAAAAAUUCUAAAACUCACCCGAGACACAACUUGAACAACCCUGAUCAUGAACAACUUUAAAAUCGAUGUUCUGAGGUCGAAAAGGUCAAAAAUAAAAUCAUCAAAGUUUAGGGGCCUUGAAAAUGCCUAAGUAUUGGGUUUUGAAUAGUGUUUCCUUACUAUGGCUUUAAAGAUUUUAUAUGGCAUUAUUGUUAAUUCCAUUCAGUGUUGGUGGGUUAUGAACACCCGAUACCUAUUGAUUUACAUGAAUUCAACUUUUCAUCUACUCAGACAAUUAAUCCAUGACUCUUAUCAGUAUACCUACAGGUUUAUAAUUAUGAUGAACAUUAUCAGUUAUGUAAUAAUGUUUAAGUCUAGUUUAGUCUAUUCUAGUAUUAGUUUCAGUUCAGUUGGGAGUAGGAUUUAGGAUCGAGCAAACUCAGGGAUAAGGGCUCACCUGAUAGUAGUGUGUGUGACCCUUAGUAGCAAUCCCUGAGUUCCAGAACUACGUAGCCAGCAUAGGUUAGAAAUGUUUACCUGCCAGUUGAGGGUUCACAAAGUGUUUACUUGCUAGUUGAAGGUGACACAUAUCUCAUUAGAGCACCUGCCAGUCGAGGGUGACUCCUUAGUCCUUCGGGAUACUCGACUAUUAGAUCCACACAACCAAUGUUAGUAUCCAUGGCAUGGUACUGACACCCUUCCAUCUGGGGUUACUGGUUGGACCCCGAUUAGAUCAGAUUAGGGCAUGUAGGUUAGAUGAUACCUCCCACAGUCUUAGUACAAUAUUCGGUAUAGUUUCAGUUCAGAUUUGCCUGACCAGAGCAUACAGAUUCUCAGUUAUUUAGUUAUCAGAUUUUAGUCUUUCUAUUUACAGAUUAUUUUAGAUACUCCCACCGUCCUAUUUUAUGUAUCGCCAUUUGACCAUACACGGAGUUUAAGAAAUAAGGGAAGACUUUAUAAUAUUUAUCAAAUUGUCCUUUAUCAAAAAAUAUGCUACUAUUUUUUGUAAUUAAGUGAGCCCAAUAAGGGUAAAAGUGUAAUUGUGUUUUUAAAUAUUUACCAAUUAAGGAAAUGUGACAUUCUUUUUGGGACGGACUAAAAAGGAAAUGAUGACACAUAAAAUGAGACAGAGGGAGUAAAAGUUUAUGCUUGGUCUUGCAUUCUCAGAUUUUACAGUUUUCAUGCAUUCAUGUUCAGUUAUCUCACGCUUUUUAGUUAGUCCUUAUUUCAUAUGUACAGUACCCCAUGUAUAUCAUCUCAUAUACCAGUAUAUUCAAAGUACUGACUGAAUACUCUUAUUUAUGCUAUGAUGUCUUAUAUCAUAGGUUUGGAUGCACAUUUUCCCGAUCGUAGUUAGACAGCUCAACGUUAUCUAGUAGUCAUAGUGGCAAGUCCUCAUCCAUCGGUGACAUGAUCUGUUUAUUCUGUUAUUUUAGUAUUUCAUUUUAUUCAGUCAUUCGGAGUUAGUUAGGGGUCUGUCCCAUCAAAUCCUCAGUCAGUUUAGAGGCUUUCAGACGUUCAAACAGUCAGUUAGUUAUUUUCAGUUUUUAUCAGAUGUUUCAGACUUAUGAUUGAUUCGGUAUUUCAUGUUCAAAUUUAUAUUUUUCUUUCUAGUUUAUCUUCCGCACAAGUGUUAUGUUCAUAUUUGUUUAGCGCUCAUAGCAGGUAUCAGUUUAUAGGUUAGCUUGUGACCCUCGGGGUUGUAAGCACUCUUGUCGCGACUAGGGGGUAGCCUCGGGUUGUGAUAAUUUUUAAGCCCAUAAAUAGAUUUCUUUGACAAACAAACUUGAUUUAAAAAGGGUAGUGUAACACCAGGUGGAAAUUUCAUAUAAACUUCUUCAUGAAGAUCACCAUGAAGAAAAGCAUUAUUAAAGUCUAAUUGAAAACUCCCCAAUUAUCCUUCAAUGCAAUGGCUAAAAUACAUCUGAUAGUAGUAAUCUUGACUACCGGAGAGAAAGUUUCUUUAUAAUCAAUACAUUAUGUCUACACAUCAUCUCUAAUGAUGUCACGAUCUAAUUUCUUAAGUCAUGAUGGCACCUAUUAUAAAUCACCGAUAGGCAAGCCAAACCCGUAGUUCGGAAUAGCUAGUAACGAACCACCAAAUAUAAUAAGGAAAGAAUGCAUAAUAAAUAUAACAAAAGUUCAAAUACAUAAAUAAAUCCCAAAGCCUGGUGGUAUCAAUACAAGGGCUUCUAAUAUAAUAAGAGUACAAAAGUAGAAUAGAUGAAAUAAAUUAAACUAAUAUAACUUAUCUUCGAAAACCAUGGCAGCACCGCACGAUGCACGUAUCAACGACGAUAACCUAUACUAUGAUCUGCAGGCUACAGAAGUGUAAUAUGAGUAUCAAACGAAUGGUACUCAGUAGGCAACUGCCAACUAAUCUCCAAAGAUAAAGAAGAUAUACACAACAUAUAAACAGAACGGAAACUACACCCAAGAGUCCAAAAAUCAUAUAACAAUCCAAUGAGAUAAUAAGGAACAACUAUCCUUUUCAUAUCUAAUAGACUAACAUAAUAAGGCUAAGUAAGUAAUAAGGGUGCACUAUCUUAUUCCAUCCAUAGGAGUCUCAACACUAUACCAUAUAUCUCUGGCCAAUAUAUGAAUAAAGAGCGGAAGAAGAAUAUAUAAUAAUAUACAAGGGCAAGGAACGAAUAUACAAUAUGAAACAAAUGAAGAAAGGGAUAUAUAUAUAUAUAUACAAGGUCAUCUCAAGGCACAACCUAGAUCAUCAUAUCUUCAUUUUAAGCCCUCAUUAUAAUCCUAUCAGGAUUUAAUACUAUCAUGCUCAAGGUUUCUAAUCCACAUGGCUAGACAAGUAAUAAUCAUGCAUAAUAAUGAAAUUGUAUGAUUGAAGAGUCCAAAAACAUACCUCAAAUCUCGAUACCCAAUUAAUAACCAAUUUGUCAUAAACUAUCCAUAACAAUAAUAAUAACAAUAUCAAUACCAGCGCGAGUAAUCGGCUAUUCCAAAAACCCAAAUACCUAAUCGAGCUUAAGUACUUCCCCCACAGCCCCAUGCUCGAAAGGCUCAAUCAAUACACAAUAACACAAGACAUAGUCAUCACGCAUAUCUAUGCAAAUAUCCCAUACUGGAUAAUAGACAUAGGCGCAUACUAGUAAUAGGUGAUGCACAUGAAAGAAUGAAUACAAGGUACACAAUCAAUGUCACCACCAUCCUUCGAAAUCGAACCGAGUAUAUAUAUCAUCAUCACAACAUCCUCUGGUUUUGUCGGGUAUACAUAGCGACAUCACAGUAUCCUUCGACCUUGUCGGGUAUCAAUAUCAUUAUAACAGUAUCCUCUGACCUUGUCGGGUAUCAAUUUCAUCAUAACAACAUCUUCCGGCCUUGUCGGGUAUCAAUAUCAUCAUAACCAUCAAUACAUGUGUAUAGAUAUAUAUAAUAGGUCCACAACUCAAGUCGUGGCUAAAAGUGUGUAAAUCCAUAAAUCUAUUGCCUGGAAUGAUCUUCAGGACUAAAUUAUUGUAAAAAUGUAGAAAGGGUCCGAAUAUCUCACGAUCGGAGUAAAUAAUAGUGUCAAGUUAUGGAAUAAAAUCUGUCUCGAUCAAAUCUUUAAACAGUAUUUUUAACCUCUUCUAUACGUAUAAAUAUUUCAUUUGAUAGGCAAUUAUUAUAGUAAAGAAAUUCAUUGUUACGGUGAAAAGUGGGUUUUAACCCUUAUUUAGGAACAAUAGUGUUAAGGUUGUAUUUUAGCUAGGAUUACAUCAAUGUCGAUAUAAUAUUCAUGAAUGUACCAAAUCUACACAGGCCAUUACCAGUAUUCAUUAGCAGAGGCGGACCCACGUGGUGCCUCGAAGGUGCACGUGCACCCGGUAACUUUUUUAAAAAAUUGUAUAUAUACGUAUAUAUAUCCUACUAAAGUGCUAAUAUAUUUAAUUGUGCACCCUCAGUAAUAAAACUUGUGUGGGUGCACUGGUUUGGAACUCAAACGCUGACGCCCUUCUAGCCCAACGUCGCAUGUUCGAUUCCUAAUGGAGUCUCUCAAUUUUUACAUUUUACUUCUACUUUAUAUACAUUUAAAUGUCACCAGCUAGGCAGGAGCAAUUUUUCAUUUGAUGCUAAUAGGUACACAUUUCUUCCUUUCAUUUUUUUUUAUUUUUUAUUCAAGUUUGGGUAAUGUUAAUUGCUUUUAAUAUUUACUUGUUGCUUGAAAGUUAGUGCAUAAAAUUUAUUUAUUUCUUUUUUCUUGCUUCUAUUUAAGUUCAUGGGAUUUGAUUAAAAAUAAAUAAAGAAUUAGUUUUACUUAUAUUCUUGAUGAAUUUUUUAUUUUGUAGGAAUUUGUUAUUGAUUCUUGUGAAUUGAAAUGGAUAGAUAUUAUUCUCCUCAACCAAGUUCUAGUUUUAAAGACAAUUCUCAUCGCCUUAGCAAAAGCAAAAAAAGGGCAAAACAAGCUCCAAGGUCCAUUAUAUUCAAGCACAAAUUACAAAUAAAGCGUGAGAUUAAACAAAAAAAGGCAUAAAGGAGAAAAAAUAUAAACAUAUGUCUAGUUCAAAACUAAUACUAUAAGCAUGAAUGACAAAUAUAUGAACACAAUUUUUUUUUUAUAUUAAGUGAAAUAUCAAUUGUUUAGUGUUUGUAUCUCCAGAAAAGCCUCAUUGACAAGGGAAAGUAUAUCUUAUAAAUUAGAGCCUAAACUGCAUAGUAAACGAGGCGAGCGAUCAACAUAAAUUUGAGUCUUUUUGACAGUACUGGUGCACCCCCAGAUUUCAAAUUCUGGGUUCGCCUCUGUUCAUUAGAUGAAAUCAUAAGCAACAUAAACAUAUAUGUAUCCAUAUUCUCCAACCAUAUCCUUUACAAGUAUAAAUACUUCUCGGAUAUCCAACUACUAUCAUAACAUGGUCCUCGGCACAAUAAUAUGUUUGAAAUAAUCACAACAUCGUACUCACGGCCUUAGGCACAAUAAUAAAACACAAGCCCUAUAAGGUCUAAAGUAAAGUGUGAGCCCCAUGAGGGCUAAAGUAAAUGACAAGACCUGCGAGGGAUAAAGUAAAUGAUAAGUCCCACAAGGGCUAAAGCAAAAGAAAAGUAAGGAAGAGCAUAAUUUCACAACCUAUCAUUUGUCGUCAAGGACAAUUUAUCCAUAGAUAUAUUAAUCCAUAUAACAUGAAUAUUACAAUGCAUUAUCGGAUUCAACAUGGUUAGUAGCAUAGCUUCUCAUGGAGUUAACAAAUAUGCCUUCUAGAGCCCAUAGUAUCAUAACUCACAAUAUUAGCAACAAGAGGACUUUCAAGCCUAAUCACUAGUUUGGUUACUAGGCAAAGUCUAACAUUAGUAAUAUCAUAGUCCAAAUCCCAAAAUAGUAGUCUAGUGAAUAAUUUAAAUGAUAACAUAGUCACGGGCUUAAUUAAUCGCAUAAUCUAUAGUUACACAAGCAUUAACGAUAAAGUAGUCAUUAACCAUAUACAUCACCUCAGAUACUAUCUUCAUAACUCAUUUACCAUGGUUAGCCAACAUGCUCCCUAGGCCAUUCUCUAAGCAUUUAACAAGCGUCUAAGGUCUUCAAUGGAACUAUAUAAAUCCAAGCUAAAGGUGGGUCAAAAUUCCACUUCUAAUCCUCAAUUUCCAUAAUUAGGCAAACUAUGCCCCAAACAAGGCUAAGGUAUCUAGUUCAACUUCUAGAUGUCAAGUAAGAUAUAACCAAUCUUAAGAUAUGAACUUUUCCUAGAAACAUGGGCAUUUAAGCAAACACUACCCAAAUUAUGAUUUCAAGAUCACUAGAAUAGCCCAACUAAGGUUAAGCAUACUAACCAUGAUUCCAACAGAUAAACCACAUCCCAAACCUAGCAUACUAUUAUAUCCAUGCCACAAAUUAGCUUAACCUAGGAAAAAGGCAAGAGGGUUCUAAAAGGGUCAUAAAUAUUUCACCUUACAGGUCCAAAACCCUUAUCUAAUUAAAUAAACAUAAAUAAUCAAUAAUAAGUUAUUUUUAUUUUAUUCAUAAUAAAUCCUAAAGUUCAUAUUCACAUGCCAUACAUAACACACAUCAUCUUCGAAGAAGAGUAGGUAGAAGCCUACCUCAAAGACAAACCGUAAAACCUUACAUCAUUCACCACAUGCCCGUCUUCACUUCACAAUCCUCAAAAUGCCAUCCAGCUAUCAAAAACAUAAUCUACUCAUCAAUACGAGUCUAACGAUACCCAUAUUGCACUAUUGCGCUCUGGGUCUAAAAACGACAUCCAAAAUCCCAAGUUGGUCCCACUAAUGGAAAACACAUUUAUGAGGCCAACCCAACACUCACACAUCAUGAAGGAAUCAUAACCCUUACAAAAUGGGUGAAAACAAAGCUAAUUUUAGGCUAAAAUAAAGGUCUGAGUGGGUUUGGGGUUUUGGGAUAAGAACUAAGAAAUUCAUCCGUAAAGUGAUGAAAUCUUACCUUAAUUCAUAUGAUAAUUGCGAUAAUAGAUGAUAAUCAAGCUCCUAAGUUACCCACACAACUCAAUUUUGAGUUAUCAUAUCCAUUUAGGGUUUGUCUCUCAAAGAUUAAGGGAAAAUGCCAAAAUUGCGACCUUGAGGUCUAUUUAUAGACCCCCCCGAUGAAGAGAUGUGGUAUCCCCUAAUAGCAAAGUCAACUUAUUUUUGACCCUCAGAACUCAUUUGGAACCCAAAUAAUAUGACCCAAUACUGAAAUUUGAGGGUAAACCAUAUUUAAAAUCUAUUGGAAUCGUCAAAACUUUCAUCCGAGAUCGUAUAGGAAAAAAGUGGGGCCCACACCUAUAGUUUUAUUUUUCAUAAAAUUUGCUCAAUAACUCAAAAUAAGUCUGGGAGCCUUGGGACUGGAACCAAGGGUCUCCCUAGACUAAAAUCGAUGAUACGAAUGCGAUUGAGAAAUCAGAUUUUCUAUUCUAGGUUAUUUCAAUCAAAUGUAGGUCCCACACCUGUAUUUUUGACUUUUCCAUUUAUGAUAAUAGGUUGAACUGAGCUUGGGUGUAUUGGGACCCAAACUAAAGGUCUACCUAGCGUAAAAGAGAUGUUUUUGAAUUUGCUGGCACAGUCAAAAUUUACAUCCGAGAUCGUUUCACUGAAGUUUUCACCUGGUGGCUGUUUGGAACCAGCAAAGACUUCAAAAUAGGGAAUUGGUUCUUAAACCCAAAUGAACUGCCCGAUAACCGAACCGUCAAUCCCACUAAGUCAUAAAUGAGUUAUGGCAGCUAUGGAUAAGACCGAAUGAUGAAUAUAAGUAAAAAUAUUCAAAAUGACUGGAGGGAUCAUUACAAUAUCCACUACUAAAAGGACUUUCAUCCUCAAAAGUCAGUGGAUGGAAAGAAUUUCAAAAGCUCGAAUGAAUGAGGUACUGGGCCCGCAUGGUACGAGCAUGACUUUAUAGAUAACCUUAAUAAAGAUGAUUUUUCUAAGGAAUUUUUCCACAAGUAUCCUUUUUUCAACCAACACUCUCACUUCACUUCCAAGCAUUCAAAACUUCACUUCAACCACUAACUGGCCUCCAACUUAACCAAAUAGUCUGAUGCACACAAACUAAACCACAACAUACUGAUACCAUCUCAAUACAAUCAUAAUCCAACCAAGGCUUAUCCAAUCCAAAAACAAUCCUAUGACAUGAGUCAUACCCUCCACUCCAAAUCAAAAUAUAACCUUUCUUUACCAUCUUACACCAGCUAUCCUAUCCAAACCACGAUAAAAAUCACCUGAGUCUCGUCUGCACAAUCUUAUCAUAAAGAACUUAAAGAACGGAAGCUAAUCUACUAAAAUUCCAUAUGGAAACUAUGAGACUAAGCUCAUAAGGCGUUAUCUGGGCACACAAAUAGAGAUAAUCAAGCAAUGCAAUCUAUGCCAAUGCUGUAACCAGUAUGGAUGAAAAUCAAAAUGAAAUCCCGAAGGAUCAAGGCAUAACUACUCAUUAUUCCACUCCAGGAUGUCUCAUCUACUGAGAAUGAAGCCAUACUAAAUCCAACUCGAGUAUAUUACUCCCACUGAAUAUAUCAUCCAAAAUUUCCAAAGAAACCUAAAACUCGAGGUCAAAAAUAAAAGAACUAAUACCGGGUCCAUGGGCUAUCAUCUGAACACUUAUCAAUUAUAAUCCAUCUAAAGUCGAGAAGACACAAUAGGCAACCACAGAGUAGGCUCAACCAGCCUAUAAAUGGAAUCUGAACUGAGACAAGUCCUAAACAAAUGCUUCACCCAAGCUCUACAACACCAAGUUAAAAUCUCAAUACUGAGGCUGAAUCACUCAAUUUCAACUACCCAAACCAAACCUGAAGACGGGUAGGCAUUCAUACUCUAAAUUUAUUGAAACUUCCAAAGCUCUAUUCCAAUGUGUCACCAAAUAAAGGUAAAACCCGUACUGGAAAAAUGUUGAACGAUUUCUAGCGCUUUUCAAAAUUUCAUUUUUUUGCAAUGCCUUGAGUGGACAAGGUAAGACGGUACGCUUACUAGAUCCAUCUACUAUUACUAAAGUACACUAAACACUCACUGAAUCUCGACAUUAAUUAGAUCAACAAAACCAAACCAUUGCCUGACGUGAACAGACGCUUUCUUAUUAGACUGUUUGAUCUGGCUCCGUAUUUACUCAAGCAAAGACGAAUCAAAACCUUUCUUUUCUUAUGAUGAGAGGGAAGGAUCACUCCUAAAAGCAAGCUUUCUCUUAUAUACGAUACCAUCAGACGCUCAUUCCUUGGGAUCAGAAGGUUUUCUAUCUUCAUAUUACCAAAUUAGAGAACUACCAAGGCCUUUUAGAGAUUCAACGCGUCCCCCUACCUAAGCUAGACGCUUCACCUACCUGACCUCAGAGAGAAUAGAAUGAGUCGCCCUAGCCCUAGUCUUACUAAGAAAGAGUUUCACCCUUAUGUCUGAUGGCCACAGGGGAGUGAUCCCUUGCAAAAUAAAAAGAAACCACUCCUCUGAAAGCUCGAGGCUAGUCUAGCCCCGAUGCCUCCACAAGGAAUUCUAUCCCGAAAACACCAACACACAUGUUCUAUUUGAGGACAAAACCCUUUUAAGUCAACCAAUCAUCAACAUGAACCAACUGUGGAUCAGUUGUUUCAGUCUUCCAGGAACGGUUUACAACUGGAGCCUCAAAUAAAUCUCAAAUAUUUCCAAGACGAGCUUCGCCUGGAAACAUUUGAAAAUCCGUCUCCCUUCGUAACCAUUCUACCAAGGACCCUUCCAGGUAUGGGUUGAGUGGUCUACCACGGCCAAGCCACAAUUCUAAGGGCAUAGACCAUUUAGUGAACAUCGCUAAGAGCCUCCGAAUGCGAGGCGAUUGUCAAUGUGGCAACGAAUAAAUAGUCCGAAAACCGACUGAAAGGAUAGGUCAUCUGGAUCGGCAUCAACAUGGGAGUUUUCCGAGGGAUGAAGAUCAAUGUCUGGUCGAACCAAGCUUCCUUCUCUCUCUCUUGCCCAGGAGCAGGUCAAGUCUAUGUGACCAAGGCAAGCAAGGAAUGCUAACUGAAUAGGGGUACUCAAUUUUUAUUGCGAUAGAGGGAGGUAGAAUUAUUGAAGAAUGAGGAAAAGGCAUGACCAGAAGAGUUGUAUGAAAGAAGUGAAUUUAUCUAGUUGAGGCAUGAUUCAUUGAGACAAUCAAAUUCCCUCCAGAAAGCUGAACUCCGUCAAGCCUGUAGGAGUAGUGAAGAAUGUGAGUGAGUUGUGUGGUUUUUUGUUGACCAUGAAAGAAAUGGGAGUGUUUGGGCGUACAUUGCAGAUCCACCGGUGGAGGUCCCGUACUAGAUUGACUUUCUUCUCUGAUGAUCUUUGUGUGUCACGAAGUUUUCACGUCAAAUGAAUCAGACCGCUGGUUGGUGUCUCCAUGCCCUGACUCAUUAUACUCUAAACUGGUUCAUUCGCAAGUCAAGAUCAACAUCAGUUUAGAUCGGUAAAGUAGAAUGACUGUUGACGCGUGCUAAUCGAGUUUUUUAUACACGAAUUCUACAACUGAGCUUUUAUAUCUAAAGGUGAGUUCAGAGCUCGCAUUCCUCACACAGUUGCCUAAGGGUUAGACUGUGAGGAAGGGUUAUUUUUUUUAACAAUGAUUGUAUGACCUGUACAUAAAUCAUCAAAGUCAUUAGCUGUUUCAGAGCGGUUUCGCUCUCAGUAAACUGACCAACAAACUAAUCAAUCGAUUAAGCUGAAAGCGAUUCAAUCCACAUCUGUGACAACCCUGCUAAAAGCACUCAUUAGCUGUAGUGAGGCUUUUCCGUCUUGAUAGCCUUUCUCCUUUAUUACAUGGGAUUCCUGGUUUAGGUAGACAAAGAAAAGUCAAAAUCGAAGGAGGAAGCCAUGAAUAGAGGCACUCCCAAUCCACUUAUUGCUCGCUUGCUUUCGCUCUUCUCCUUCAAUCGGGCUAUGUGAGGUUACCGAGGAAAGUCAUACGAAGAAUGAUCGUCCUUUCCCUUUCAGGAAUGAGAUGGUUUAUUUCGUUCACAUCGAAAUGAAAUAAGGUUUCGUGAGUGAGGUCACAUAUAUAAAGAAGGAGUCUUUCGAGCAGGACUCAAGUAGUGUGGAACUAUCCAACGCUAUGUCGGCACUUGUCGUGUCCUCUCCACAACUUUAUCGUUUCGAUAGGACAAAAAGUCAUUCUAGAUUUAGUUCCUAAGCGUGACCCCAACAGAAGUUUAGUACAGGAGGUCGGCUAGCUCCGUUGUUCCCCUGGGUGACGAGUGAAACAUCGACCUCUCCACCUGGUUCCCACCAUAGGGAGAGAUAUGAAUCUCGGUGGGUGGAUAAGGAGAGUUGGCCAUCUAAAAGCUCUCUAUCCGCAAGAAUCUAAUAAAUUUGGGGUGAGGGAAACUGAUCAGUUUAAAAUAAGGACGGCUGCGAUCCUAUUUUAAACUCAACUAAAGGAUUAUACCUUUAACCACCCACGGGGAAGUAAAGUGACUGUUCAGGAGGAUUUAAUAAAGGGGGCAAUAAAGAAGGUCAGAGUCACGUUGUUAUCCUCGUUCAAACAAGGUUCUUGCCCUCGGCAGGGAGAAAGGAAAGUGGCUAGGGCCGGCACACUCACUUCAUCUUGCAAGACUAACCGAAUCCCAAUUUUGCGAUUAGAAGCAUAGACACAACCAAUCCGCAACGCGUAUCCCCCGACAAUCGGGGAGUCUGUCCUCUUUUCUUAGAGACCUGAAGGUCGCAUAUAAGGCAGGCACUCGAUGCUAGCUUCAAAUCAAGUAAGAAAGUAUGGAACAGACAACAUCCUGCCAUAAUGAGUUUCCCCAUUUUAGCCUGCGGGGAACACAGUCAAUCAAUCCUUCCCUUUAUAAGAAGAAAGACAGUUUCCUAAUGCAAGGGUAAAGUCGGAGUGACAUCAUAGCGUUUGAGUGCCUUUGCUAGAGUCACACUCGAGAGCCUAACUUCUUUCUAUACGUGACAUCUUUUCAGUGGACUUCUAUACGUGUAGAGCAAAUCCACAUUAUUUCGACCGAUGGAAGAUCUCGCUACCGGGUAAGGGAAGAAGUACCGAGAGGUUCACUCUUUUUGCAUGACUUUCUUUCCUUGACAAUAAUGAAGAAAGUAGUCACAAAGGACUCUAAGCCUUAGAACAAAAAGAUCAAUUCGCGUCCUCUGAUAAGAAUCUCUCAAAUUCUAUUCUUGAAUCUUCCCCGGCCGUAGCCUAGGAUUAAGAGAGACAUCCUCAAUGUCAAACCCCUGGAGGCACUCUACUCUCCAAUAGACGUUUCCUCACCUAGUCCCGGAGACCUAACCUCAAGGCUUACAAAUAAUAAAGAUCGGGGAACGAGAAUCAAUGCGCCAAAGCUAUCGGCACUGACCGCAUCCAUCUUAUCUUCUACGGGGUAGGUAAAGAGGCUUUUGCUACAACCGAUGGUCUUCGCCUUCGGUGACUUCUCCUGGAGGAUGGUCAAGUAAAAUUAGCUGCUCAACACUCACGAGGGAGAUAGCCUACGCUAAUCACGCACCUCCAAAGAGGCAUCGAGACUGACCCAUUGAUAAAGCUUGAAAUAAAGAGACCUCACUCCUGUGUGAGAGAGUGGUCACAGUUCAUCACCUCGGGGGCUUCUCUGAAAGAGAGGGUAAGGAUUAAGGCUAGGUUAGGUCUACUCCACAAGAGCAAUCAAAAAUAAAGGACAAAGAGUCCCCUGUGAAGAUUUAUAGGCCAGGGUAAAGAUAGAUCGAAAUUCGCACUCGGGUGUGAAUUGGUAGCUCACAAUCUAUGAAUUCACAUCGCCAGAAAGCUUAUAAAGGAUAGACAAUUCCUUGGGUGACCGGGGGGCUCUGGAUAAGAGCAAAACCUUUUGCCUCGACGAGGCUAGGCCAGAGUGGAAGCUCUCUGGAUAAAGUGUUGACCGCAAUCAGGGAGUUCCUACGCUUAACCAGAUUAUUAGUCUUGGAAAAAAUCCUCGUCUGCACCUCCCAUAGAUAAUGCGACAUCGGUCAAGGUCGGUGGGAACAAUCAAUUUCCUUGCAUAGUGACUCAUACAUGCUUUAUUUAAUUGUAAAUUUAGAGUCUGGGCUGCCCAGUUGGACUAUGUCAGACAAGUCCUAAGAGCCCAGUGUUCCGGGUUGUGCACAAGAGGGCUGGGGAUCAUUCUCAACAAUCGGCGGCUCUUGGAGAAGGGGCACCCGACUCACUCAUAACCUCAUUAGCAGGAUCAAUUUGUUGACGUUUUGCAGCAAGCUCGCAUGAGGGACCGUCUGACCAUGCUCGUUUCCUGAACAAUGCCCGAUGGCAAACACAAUAAAAGGAUAAGGAUAAGGCAAGACAACAGACCAGAGCAGUAGACCCGGCAUAAAAAAGAAGGUUUUCCAUUAUUUAACUAGUUUAAACUAGGUACGACUAGUGCAGUUGUUCAUCUUUCAUUUUAUUAUUCCAAACCAAGGGAAUUCUGUGGGGACCUCCCUGGAAAUAGCGAUCCCCAAAAGGGGUUGUUCUUUCCUCGGGUAUGUAGUGGGAGAAGGAGACGUCCUUCAUUAUUACCACCAAUCAUAUCUCGAUUGGUCGAUGAGCUAUAUUAAUAACUAAUUGAUCAUAGGGUGGUUGAGCCAUGUGACUGAGAAAAAUAGUAGGAAACCUUGUUUCUUGCCCACAGUUGGGUUAUUGAGGUUCUCUCAAUCUUAGACUGAUUGAACUUCUGACCAAGAAUGUCCAUCGUCAAUCUGAGAGAAGGAAGAAAUUCCUUUGAUCUAUUCGGUGCUGGACUGUUGGCUAAUGAGAUCCCAUAUUUGCCUAAAAGGGCUUGUAUGGAAUUGUCCGAUAAUUCUUUGGUUCUCGAUACUUCUUUGUUGGAGGUAUGAGAUAUCCUUCUUUGGUCAGCCGAUUAGGUUACUAUAGAUCUUGGUUACUCUUUCCGUUGUCCUACUACUAUAUAGUGUGGUUGGACUGCGAGUUUGAAUCCCGCAGACUGACCUUCCCUUUAUGAUCACACCUUGCUUGGUGAUGAUAUCCUAAUCACCAAUAAGCAAGUGGCUCUUUCAGUACAGAAAAGUUACUGGAUAGACUCAGCGUUUGGACUUCUGAUUCAAAGUCACACAUCAGAAUAAGAAUGCUGGGUUUGCCAAAGGGAUGUUGGGGUAAAAUCCCAUCAUAUCACUGAGGCGAAUACUGUCCUGUAGGACAGCCUUUAAUCUGUGCCCUUUAACUGAUGAAUACCUGAUCGUAAUAGGUAUUUAGGAGUUAGUAGGGCUAGGAUUAAAGUCUUGUUCUCAUCUUCUCUCCAACCAUUUGGUAGGAUUGAGGAUGACUGUUAGUAAGCUUAACCGGUCACGUCCACUACCUUCAUAUAUUUGAUUGGAAGGAAAAAAAACCUCAAUCUGUGUUUGAAGGGAAAGAUAGUGGAUUUCUCCGAAGGAUAAAACCCAAGGAGAUACAUCUCUUUCUGUAGAGAUGGUGUUUAAUAGGGAUGGGCAUCAUUGGUCCCACUGUAACCCGUAAUGGGUAAGUAGUUCCAUAUGAUGUUUAGUACUAUACGGUUGUGUGCUCAAUCAAAGGUAUCUAUUAUCAUUUGAUGGAUGUGCCGUAUAUAGCACACUUGAAGGGUCCAACAAAGAUCUUGGUUUGAUCAAGUUUUAACCUUGUUGACUAUGACAACGGUCACGACUAUGAACAGACUCGUGACUAUGGCAGGGCAGUACGCUCUGCUCUCUCGCGCCCCUACUCUAAUCAAAAGACUAAAGGCCCCUACUGAAGAUAGGUCGCCAAACUACGACCGCGAGUUUUGCCUUUUGAAGCGCCAGUCGCGUAGGGCGACCGGGCCAGGUCGAGUCAAAAAGGCUUUGAUGACUCAAGGUUCAUAUUAGGGAAAGGAGAGUGAGGGGAAGAGGGGGAAGCCCUCGGCCUGAUCAUCCAAUUCGUUCCAACAGAUAGGUAUGGUUCUGUAGUCAAAGCAACUUCGUCACUUUCGUGUACCCAUCGGACUAGGACCUUUCGGGGGUUCCUUAGGGACCGAUUCACUUUGCGUAGAUUGACUGAACGCAGAAAACCUUCCACUGGCAGGCGAUCAUGUUUUUCACAGGAUUUUUCGUUACUUAUGUCCGCAUUCUCACUUAUGAUAUCUCCAGGUCUUGUCACCAAAAACCUUCCCCGAUUGACAGAACGUUCCGCUACUGACACUUGAAAAAGCAGCUUUCAAGGUCUCGUCGCUUCGGUGAAUCACUUGAGCCCUAAUAUAUUUUCGGUGCCAUGGAGCUAGACUAAGGAGCUAUUACGCUUUCUUCAAAGGAUGGCUGCUUCCAAGCCCACCUCCUAGUUGUCAUCGCUCGAUCACUUCCUUUUCAACUAAGUGAUUGCUUAGGGACCUUAGCGUAUGAUCUGGGCUAUUUCCCUCUCGACUUUAGACUUCGGUACUCCAAGGCCUGUUCGAGCUCUCUUCAACCUGCUCAUGGCUAGAUCGAUCGAUUUUAUAGGAAGAACUAGAAGAUUCCACCUCUGGAAAGCGCCUACACCUAAUGGCUUAAGCCGCUGUUCCCAUUUCCUCGCUGACCCAUCAUGCAAAAGGUACGCCGUUAGAGUGAGUGCGCUUUACAUAAAGUAAAGGCUCUAAGCUCCGCUCCUUCGACUGAUUGUUCGCAUCGGAUCUCAGGUUCUCUAUUGCACUCCCUAAAUAGGGUUCUUUUCACCUUUCCCUCACGGUACUUGUACGCUAUCAGUCAUUGAGGAAUACUUAGGCUUAGAGGGCGGUCCCCCUUUCUCGUGUAAAAAUGAUUAGAAUUCGAACACGCCGUGUUUUACUGGGAAGGAUCGAACCAUGGGAACGAAUCUACAGGGCUAUCACCUUCUUUGGCUAGAUGUUCCAAUCUUUUCACAAUUACAGUUCACUGCGCCCGCUCCUUUAAAGGGCGGCGGCUUGAAAGCUUACCUUAUUAUUAGAGAAAGGUUUGGAACGAAGUAGCUCACCUAAAGGGAGAGGAACCCUAACCAACGUUUUGGAUUUUGGAGUUUUCGCCCCAACCUAGGUUAGGGGGUCGUUAGACCGUAGCUUGCUGCUGAAAAACGUUGCUAGGCUAGCACGGCUCGCUUCACUCUUCAAGUUCCGCCCCCUUACUCAACCUCAACAUCUAUAAAAAAGCCCUUUCUCC